Molecule: ribosomal RNA, 465 nt
Filed under: uncultured bacterium
Lineage: Bacteria
Description: bacterial SSU rRNA
Rfam family: Bacterial small subunit ribosomal RNA
Source: RNAcentral
CCCAGACUCCUACGGGAGGCAGCAGUGAGGAAUAUUGGUCAAUGGACGAGAGUCUGAACCAGCCAAGUAGCGUGAAGGAUGACUGCCCUAUGGGUUGUAAACUUCUUUUAUAAAGGAAUAAAACGAGGCACGUGUGCCUUUUUGCAUGUACUUUAUGAAUAAGGAUCGGCUAACUCCGUGCCAGCAGCCGCGGUAAUACGGAGGAUGCGAGCGUUAUCCGGAUUUAUUGGGUUUAAAGGGUGCGCAGGCGGCGAGUUAAGUCAGCGGUAAAAUCGCGGGGCUCAACCCCGUACUGCCGUUGAAACUGCAUCCCUUGAGUGCGCGAGAAGUAUGCGGAAUGCGUGGUGUAGCGGUGAAAUGCAUAGAUAUCACGCAGAACUCCGAUUGCGAAGGCAGCAUACCGGCGCGCAACUGACGCUCAUGCACGAAAGCGUGGGUAUCGAACAGGAUUAGAUACCCUAGUAU